Molecule: long non-coding RNA, 1679 nt
Filed under: Laticauda laticaudata (blue-ringed sea krait)
Lineage: Eukaryota; Metazoa; Chordata; Lepidosauria; Squamata; Elapidae
Description: lncRNA (ENSLLTG00000009247.1)
Source: RNAcentral
CCCAUGCAUAAAUUAAAGAAAGGAAUAAAAUGCCUGCUUUCGCACGGGGCUCUGGGCUUCCACUGGAAGCAAAAGGGGCUCCUGAGCGGGUGGCAGGCUGGGCGUCCCUCCCCGAAGACGCGAGCCUCGGCUCGGCGGCCCGGGCCCUUUCCGCCUCCUCCACAACGGCUGGGCAAAGCUCUCCGCGCAAGGCUCCCUCCUGCGACCGGUCCCGCCCCGGGUUAUCAAGUGCCGAAAAGCCGGCGGCAGAAAAGGCGGGAGAGGCGACUGUCAAAGCCGGGAUGGCAGGUGUGGGAGCCAAAGACCCGCCGCGGGGCCAACAAGGCAAGCCGCCCCCGAGCCCGGCACCGCAAGCGGCUGACCAACCCAGCCCCUCUCAAGAGCCGGAGCAGUCGCUGGGACGGUCGGUCGAAGGGAAAGUCGUCUUUGCACUGUGAGUUCAUGAAAUACUUUCUUAAAGAUGAACGCUCAAAAGAAAGUGUCUACAGGCAUUGGUGAUAAGGCUGGCCUACAAUUUUAUCUGACAGCUCCAUAUUCUGUUGUUCCUUCCAGCCCUGACUGGACCAGUCUGAUUAUAGUGAAGAACAGGAGAAGCUGCAUCAGCAACUUAUAAUUGAUGAAUUGUUCUUUGUUUGAGUGGAAUUUGUUAUUGUUAUCCAGCUAUAAAAUUCAUAAAUGCAAACACACACAAACACACACAUUUAGACCAAGGAAGUUGUACUUUUAAACAUCUUUUGUUAUUCAUCACAUUUCUCUUUGCCCAUGGUGCUCUUUUCAAUAUUCUCGGUAAUGGGGAUUUAUUCUGACACAAAUUUGCGUCUCCCUUAUUGUUUUGCAUCAGGGAUGCCUUUUCAAAUUACAAUUUCUUUGAAACCUCUGCCUGCCUUAUAACAGGAUUCUCACAUUCCACAAAAAUGUAAAGUAGUUUAUUUGGAUUUACCAUUUUGUGGACUCAAAAGAAAUAUGAAUAUGAUAAAACAUACGGAGCUAAUAUGAGAAGUGUGGUGAAACAAACCUAGGCUUAAUGCGACUAGGAUAGUGACUGGCUCAUGCUGAAGUUAUCAAAUGAUGGUGGUUUGGAUUAAUGCAACAUAUGAAGCCACAGCUAUAAUAUCUGGGUCACAAUGCUGCCCUAAGUAGUGUUUUAGUUUAGUACAGUACUUCAAAUAAGUUAUACCAAACUAUUGCACUCUACCGUGGUUUGCUGAAAAAAAUUGGUUGGAUUCACACAGUAUCCAGCCAUGGUUGAGCCCAAAAUUUCUGUGGCUAAAUAAGACUGUUACGUGUGUCUUAGCCCACUUUAUGACCAUUUGUUCCAGGGUUGUUAAAUGAAUUACUCCAGUUAUUCAGUUGAUAACACAAUUGUUGAGUGAAUCUGGCUUCCCCAUUGACUUUGUUUGUCAGAAAGUUGCAGAAUGUGAUCAUGUGACCCUGGGCUCUGCAAUCGUCAUAAAUAUGAACCAGUUACUAAGCGUCUGGAUUUUGAUCACGUGACCAGAGGGAUACUGCAAUGGUUGUAAAUGCAAAAAAUGGUCAUAAGUCAGUGCCAUUGCAACUUCAAAUGAUCACUAAACAAACUGUUGUAACUUGAGUACUAUCUGUAUUUGUCUGGACUCAUCCAAUAUGAUUUGUAUAACACAAUAAAUGAGUUUCACACAACUUCUCAAGCUACAAACAAG